CUUGGUCUAGAGGAAGUAAAAGUCGUAACAAGGUUUCCGUAGGUGAACCUGCGGAAGGAUCAUUAAACAAAUUUUAAUUCCACCGUCAACCAACACAAAUCGUAUUGCGUCAGCAAUAUGAUUUGUAUUGGUUGCUUUUUCUUUUUCUUUUUUCACUGCCAACUGCUUACGCAGUUGAGUUGUAGAUAUUACAUUCAACUGCGUAAGCAGUUGGCUCGUAAAGAAAAAGAAAAGAAAAGAGUUAUUGCGAUAGCUAACGCCAUCGCAAUAACACUUUUCGGUACAGACGAUAUAUAUGUUGACGAACACAGACAAAUAAUGUAAACAACUUUUAACAAUGGAUCUCUUGGCUCUUA
Molecule: unclassified non-coding RNA, 356 nt
Filed under: fungal sp.
Lineage: Eukaryota; Fungi
Description: partial internal transcribed spacer region
Rfam family: Eukaryotic small subunit ribosomal RNA (bases 1-65)
Source: RNAcentral